AAACAAAGUUAGCGUGCUACAAUAUCGGACAGUAGAAACCAACCAGAAAGUUCGGAAAAUUGUCUGAAUCCUCCUUUGGCCACGACUGCCGACACAAGCAAGAAAACACUCAAACGUAAACAGUCAACAAGAAAACAGUCAGCAAGAAAACAGUCAACACCAAACCGGUUAACAAGAAAACAGUCAACAUCAAAACAGUCAACAAGAAAACAGUCAACCAUAAUGAGUCAACAAGAAAACAGUCAACCAAAAACAGUCAACAGGAAAAUAGUCAACAAGAAAACAGUCAACCAUAAUCAGUCAGCAAGAAAACAGUCAACAAGAAAACAGUCAACCAUAAUGAGUCAACAAGAAAACAGUCAACCAAAAACAGUCAACAGGAAAAUAGUCAACAAGAAAACAGUCAACCAUAAUCAGUCAGCAAGAAAACAGUCAACAAGAAAACAGUCAACAAGAAAACAGUCAACCAUAAACAGUCAACAAGAAAACAGUCAACAUCAAAGCAGUCAACAAGAAAACAGUCAACAAGAAAACAGUCAACACCAAAACAGUCAACCAUAAACAGUCAACAAGAAAACAGUCAACAUCAAAGCAGUCAACAAGAAAACAGUCAACAAGAAAACAGUCAACCAUAAACAGUCAACAAGAAAACAGUCAACAUCAAAGCAGUCAACAAGAAAACAGUCAACAAGAAAACAGUCAACACCAAAACAGUCAACCAUAAACAGUCAACAAGAAAACAGUCAACAUCAAAGCAGUCAACAAGAAAACAGUCAACAAGAAAACAGUCAACCAUAAUCAGUCAGCAAGAAAACAGUCAACAAGAAAACAGUCAACAAGAAAACAGUCAACAAGAAAACAGCCAGCAAGAAAACAGUCAACAAGAAAACAGUCAACAAGAAAACAGCCAGCAAGAAAACAGUCAGCAUCAAAACAGUCAACACCAAAACAGUCAACCAUAAACAGUCAACAAGAAAACAGUCAACCAUAAACAGUCAACAAGAAAACAGUCAACAAGAAAACAGUCAACCAUAAUGAGUCAACAAGAAAACAGUCAACCAUAAUGAGUCAACAAGAAAACAGUCAACCAUAAUCAGUCAGCAAGAAAACAG
This is a non-coding RNA of Xyrichtys novacula (pearly razorfish), 1112 nucleotides long. Lineage: Eukaryota; Metazoa; Chordata; Actinopteri; Labriformes; Labridae. The record is from the annotation of a GenBank genome assembly.